UACGUAGGGGGCAAGCGUUGUCCGGAAUUAUUGGGCGUAAAGAGCGCGUAGGCGGUCCGAUAAGUCGGCUGUGAAAGUCAGGGGCUCAACCCUUGGAAGCCGGCCGAUACUGUCGGACUGGAGUCCGGAAGAGGCGAGUGGAAUUCCCGGUGUAGCGGUGAAAUGCGCAGAUAUCGGGAGGAACACCAAUGGCGAAGGCAGCUCGCUGGGACGGUACUGACGCUGAGGCGCGAAAGCGUGGGGAGCAAACAGG
Molecule: ribosomal RNA, 253 nt
Filed under: uncultured bacterium
Lineage: Bacteria
Description: partial 16S ribosomal RNA
Rfam family: Bacterial small subunit ribosomal RNA
Source: RNAcentral